AGAGAGAGAGAGAGAGAGAGAGAGAGAGAUUGUGUGUGUGUGAGAGAGAGAGAGGUGCCUCAGCAAAGCGGCAAGGAUGAGACAGCAACACACUGACACACAAACACACACUCACACUCUGCAUAAACCAGGGAGAGUCAGCACACACACACACACACACACACACACAAAGAGAGAGAGAGGUAUGCACAUGAGUAACGUUAAUACACAUCACAUCUGACACACUGUAGACAUCUGAGAGCAGAACAUCACUGCAGCUUUACACAUCACCAUCAAGGUCAAGAAAGGACAUUUGGGUUCGUUCUGGGGUAGAUUCCGUUAUGUUUGAUUCUGGUAUUUUGUGAGUAUAUUUUUAAUGACUAGUAAGUGGCUUAAUGGUGUCCCUACUGUUAAAGCAAACAACUGUACAAUGUAGCACAAAGAACCGUGGAUGGGUUUAGUGCUGUGUUAACGUUACCUGUAUUCGCGAGGAGAGAGAUCCUCUGUUUUUCUGAAUAUGGCGACACCUUGUGGUCGAGAAGCAGAAUUUCAAGAUGCCAUUACUGCGUUUCUGUGGAGAGAACAACUGAUAGUCAAAACAAAGGACAAACUCUCGUCAGUAAAGUCAUAAUGGCAUGAUAAAUCGCAUAUGAUCAAAGGCCACUUACUAUAUAAACUGCUUUUAGAUUAACGUUAAGCUUCCGAUAAGAAAAAUACUCAGAAGUCAACUAGCAACAAGACCCUACUAGAUUAAUAUAGUAGCCUAUAACUGCAAUACAUGUUACUUCAUCUGUGAAUGCGCCAUUCGGUUUUUAACCGACGUUGUUGAUAAUAUAGACCUGUAUACAGUGGUGCUCGUACUCGUAUGUUGCAAUGGAAAACGGUCCAUACAGCUAUUAGUAUUAAUAUUUGACUGCGCACAUCAGCUAUUAAACAAUAUCAAGAAUUUCAGCGAGCCGUAUAAAUUAAGCACUGUUUAUUUUGUACAGGCUAGGCUAAAAAAGUAACAAAACAAAAACAAAAAACCUUAACAGGAUAAAAAAAAGUAAAAAAACAUUCUCACUUGUGUGAUUUUGGAGUCUUCUUGCAAUCAGUCAGUCUGUCUGUGCCAGGACAGGUUAUAAAUUUAGGUUGUUUAGAUCGAAUGGGAAUGAUAAACUUACAUUUCAAAUGAAUACAAGAUACAUAUAUUUUUUUCUUUCUUUAAAUAAAUAGGCUAAUAUGUGUAAAAUAAGAAAAUUUAAAAUAUUUACCUGCUUUUCCACCAGGUGUAGGGCCCAAAUAAUAUUAUUUAUUGGUGAAAAACAUGAGGUAAUAGCUUUUAUCUUAUUCAAAAUAUCCCAUUACAAAUAUCCUAGCAAAAUAUUACAAUAAAAUAAAAUAAUUACAAAUAGUUGUUUACUCUACUUACUUGAGUGUUGGUUCUAUAUACUGUUAAACUUAUGAUACUGUUUGGGUAUGAGAUAAUAUUAUAAACACUGUAAUUUAUGCAAAUUACUAAAUAAUAAAAUUUACAUCAGUGACACAUUUAGUUACAGUCCGUUAGAAUUAACCAAGCUUUUUAUUACAAUUAUCUUUUCAGCUGUAUAGUUUGUAAAGCUUUAAGUUUUAUUGUAGCUGUAAUUUUAAAGCAAUAAAUUAGUGCAACAAACUAUAGUGCACCAACUUCCGUUGUUCAGUUGUUAACAAUCAUUAAUAUUAAAAUGAAGUCCAAAAGCUUAGUAAUAAAAUAUCUUGAUCACAUUUUAAUUUUAAUUCAUUUUAAUUAUAAACCACAUCUUUAGUGAUCCCUUUAAAACCAAAAGCAAAGUGACCACAUUUUUAUUUUUUAUAAAAAGGUUUAUUUGUUCGAGAAAAGAAUGACAGGAUGUUUGUUUUUUUUAAUAUCAUGAACAGUGAAGGCAUUUCAAACUCUUUAAUGGAAAUAGUUUUCCUCUGCUUCACCCUCAAAUCCCUGCAACACAUUAAAAGAUGGAUAAAAACACUCUCAGGGACACCUUGCGGUCUUUUCCACAGAAUAUAAGGACAACAUUUUUUCAGUCAAUUUUCAUCUUCACCACAAAAGUGUGCACUACUGGGGAGGAGGGCGAGACAAAUUUUCCCCAGCUUUACCAGGCCAUUUCCAUCAUUACAUUUCAUGAACAUGGGUAAGACAAGCAGUAGCGGUUUUAGGCACGGGCGAACCGGGCAGCCGCCCGGGGCGUCAUUUUUUCGUGACACAUUGGGGGCGGCAGCACGAGCAGAAAAACAAAAAAUCCACUGUGUCACGAAGCGGUUUUUCGUCAUUUAUAUAAUUUCACUGUGUGUGGAAUUGGCAAAUUGGCGCUCCCUGCAGCUGCCGGCGCCCCUGAUACUGAAGCAUUGUGUUGUGUGAGAAGUCAAGUGUAAAAAGGGGAGUGGGGCGAGAGGCGCGUGCGAGAUUUCACCUCUGGGUCUCUCUCAAAUGGAACGGACAGGGCGGGGGUGGACGGGGACGGGGGAUCCACACUAGUAAAAUAAUUAAUAAUAGGCUAAAGUCAGUCACACACCUCGACUUUCUUCCAAAUAACGCACAUUUCAUUCAUAAUGUUAUAAUACAGGCCUAUAGUUCCUGCAAAUGAAACUAGGUAGGUAAUACAAAACGAUUGUGCGGUCAUCAAGGUGAAUUGGUUUAGUCUUGACUUCUGGUCGUGAGUGACAGUUGGGGGGAUGGGAAAUCUGUUGAUUGUCGAGUGCCAAAUAAACAGAGAUGGAGAAGAAAAGGUCAAAGCCAGGUGCCCAAUUUCGAAAAAAAAGAAAAGAAGAAGAGGAGAAACGAGCAAAAGAUAAAGGGGCACUUCUAAAAAAUUUUGGAGCAUCCUCUGCCACUGGUCAGGAUGAGCCAACCACCUCCUCCGCUACACAUAUGUCUCCACAAAUAUCUGAUAUUGAGGAUGAAGACCUCUUUGCCUCUACUUCUACCCAGCAUGAGCUUUCAGAAAUGCCUGGAGCUAAACCCCCACUGAGCCCCACUGGCCCUCACAUCUGACUGACAGGAUUCGGACUGAGCUGGUUCACAGAAGACCAAGUAAAGUGCCACCUGACUUUGUUUUCCGUAGGAAUGAGAGUAAUGGGAGAAGUUGCCACCACUAAUAUUUUAAGAAGACAUUAGUAAGUGGUGAAAAGAUGGCAAGAAGUUGGCUGAUUUAUUCAAUUAAGAACAACAGCCUCUUUUGCUUCUGCUGCAAAUUGUUUUCCAAGAGGAACAUCAAUUUAACAAGUGCAGGAAUGGCAAAUUGGAAACAUGCAUGCAAUGAUCUCACAUCAUAUGAAAACAGUUGUUAUAAUAAAAUAUUGCUGUUCGUGCAGAA
This is a long non-coding RNA of Carassius gibelio (silver crucian carp), 3308 nucleotides long. RefSeq lists it as uncharacterized. Lineage: Eukaryota; Metazoa; Chordata; Actinopteri; Cypriniformes; Cyprinidae. The transcript has 3 exons. The record is from RefSeq and is a predicted model, not a curated record.